UAGGCUCAUGUGUAUGAAUGUGUGGUUCC
Molecule: non-coding RNA, 29 nt
Filed under: Mus musculus (house mouse)
Lineage: Eukaryota; Metazoa; Chordata; Mammalia; Rodentia; Muridae
Source: RNAcentral